AACUAUUUACUUAGCUGGUGGUCAAGGUCAGGUUGUUGGAGGAAGCGUGGUGGGGGCAUUGAUGGCUGCUGGUCCGGUGAUGCUAAUCGCUGCCACGUUUUCUAAUGCGACUUAUGAGAGAUUACCUUUGGAUGAGGAAGAAGCGGCUGAAAGAGGUGGCGGUGGAAGCGACGGAGGAGUGGUUCCAGGGCAGCUCGGGGGCGUAGGUUCCCCGCUGAGUAGUGGUGGCGGUGGAGGCCACGGGAACCAAGGACUUCCCGCAUAUAAUAUGCCCGGAAACCUUGCUUCUAAUGGCGGUGGAGGAGGACAGAUGAGCGGCCAAGAAGCGUACGGUUGGGCUCAAGCUAGGUCAGGAUUUUAACGUGCGUUAAGAUGACUUUUUAUUUACAGCAGUUAACAAUAAAGAAUUACGUUAUGUCUAUUAUGAUAAUGAUUAUGAAAACUAGUUGCUACUAGUGAGCUAUAUAGUGUGUGGGUACAUUAUAUUAUGUUCUCUUGACUAGAUUAUUAUAUGCUAAAUUUCACUUACUUGUGUGUGGUUUAUGAUCUUUUAUUACAAGAUUUUCUCUUUGUUGGAUUCUUCAUUUGUUUUUAUAAUGAAGUUAUGUGUGCAUAUAUAAUCGAUUGAAUCUUUGAGGUUGGUCAUGUUUUCCAUGUAUAUGAUAUAGCACUAUAUAUGCCAUAUAUAAUUGGUUUUAUAUAUUUUGUAUGUUUGCAUGCAUUUAUUAGACACCUGAUUGGCAAUUAUCUACAAGCCUUACACUCACCUAGUCUCAUUAAAUAUAAGCUGGUUUAAUUUUGCUACAAAUUAUGUAAGAAAAUAUUGAUUUACAUGUAACCCAAUACUUCAAAAAUGCAUAUAUAUAUAUCUCAGCCUUCUGAACAAAACAUCGGAUUAUAACCCGAUUAAGAGUAACACGAACACGUAAAAGAACUGUUUAAGCUACGCACAUCAGCAUACAUUAUAUCAUACAAAAGAAAAAGAAUUGCCGAGAAAGAUCAAUGAACUCCGGUUCCAGGAUUUAGUUCGAUUCCAAAUAUUCACAAACAAUUUGUUUUAUUAUUUUCGGUUAUGAUAUUUUGGUCCAGUGAUUUAUUUGAUGGUAAACUCACAUAAAACUAUCAUUUCCGAAGAAUAAGUUCACAUCAUGAUAAGUCGGAUGAUAGAGUGAAGUGAUCAAAUGAAAUUAACAAAAAAUACUUUUAGAAUAAACAUAUAUAACAUGCAUAAAUUAGAUUAGUAUCAGAUCAUCUCUUGAACAAUCUAGGAUUUCAAUUUUAUUGUAACCUAACUUUUAUUAUUCAGUUAAUUAUGGUUACAAUUUUAAUUAAAAAAAAUUAGUAUGUUCGCUUAGCAUGCAGUCAUCAUUAAAUUAUACUCUAGUGGAAAAGAUGAUGUAUCCAACAAAAGUAAUCUAUAAAAGCUACUACUGCAAGAUAUAUAUUAAUAGGUUAUUUCAAAUGAAAUGACAUUUGACAAUAAAAUGUUCUAAUAAAAUAUAAAUGCAUGUGUUAUUUGAAUGUUCAAAUCACCUGGACUGAAACUCAAACUUAUAAUUAAUGGCUUUGUGAAUCUACAACGGUCUAAUAUAUAUAUAUACAAAGAAGCCGUAGUCAACCACAACUAAUAUAACUAAAUCAGUCGACUCAAAAACUAAUUUUGUUUUUCAGAAAAAAAACUAAUUUAGUUAUAAUAUAUAUAUAUUUAUGGUACACACCAGGUUCAAUGCAACUUAAUAUACGACGGGAAUAAAAAAAAGGUCCAAUGCAACUAUUAUACCAAUUUUUAAUACAUGUGUGUGUGUGCCUGUAUUAAUAAUCCCCCUUGCUGUCUGUCAGCUUACAAGUGUCGUCAUUUAACCAAGUUUUUAGGCUUUCUUGACCAUACCGGAGGAGAAUCCGGCGAGUAAGUGAGCUUCGGCAGAGAACGUAGAACUUUCUUUUUCAAUCCUUUGUUGGCCGCAGCCACCGGCGGUUGAGGAUUCUGAUCGGAGUUCGCAGCGGGGCUCCUACUGGCGGCGAUGCGACGGAGCCAGGAGCAUCGAGAGACGGCGACUAAGCCGAGAACGCAAAUCAGUGCGCAGAGGAGAGCUGCUAUGAUGACUAUGAGGUCAGAGUUUAACGUCGGAGAAGCUUUGGCCGGCGACGGAGGAGUGGCUUCUUGAAGGAGACGAAAGAGAAGACGCGCCAUUGCUGGAGAAGAAGAGAGGUUUGAUUUGAAAAGUUGAGAGGGAUUAGGUUUUGAGGAGUGUGAGCUUGUUUGUUUUGGGAGGCAAAGAGUAAAGGGUAUUUAUAGUGAACGUGAGAGAUCGCGUCUUGCUUUAUAAUAACAUCACUUUCGGUUAUUAGAUUAUUUUCUUAAAUGUUUUAAUUGUUGCUUUUAGUCAAAAGACUUAUCAAACUCUAUUGCUUCUUUUUUCUUCAUGUGUCUUGUUUUCUCUUUCAGUGUUUUGGCAUAUCAAACGGUCUCAAGUUUUUACGUAAACAGAAACAUGUAUUGUAAUAGUAAUAUUUACAUAUUAUUUGGGGACUACUUAUUGGAUAUUUUGUCUAAAAUUAAAUUAACGUUAGAGUCUAUUAAAUUCUACAUAAAUUAAACAGACAAGUCCAAAAGAUGAAUUACACCAAAAAGAGUCCAAGAGAUUAAAAAGUAACUGUAUGGAAUGAAUAAUACUUUUAGUGGAUUCAAAAACAUUUUAUAGUUUGAUUUCCAAAAUAAUAUAUGAGAUAGUGGUGCGUGUGGGGGUAGUGCACACACAUGAUGGAAAUGGCAGAAGCGUGUGUGUGCGAAAAUGCGAUGCCUUGGACCAAUGAGCACGAAAAUCACGAGAUAUAUUGAUAAGGUGUGUAUCACUUAUCACAAUAUAUAUAUUUUUAACUACCAGGAAGUUCGGGCUGAAAUCCUAAUCUUCCCGGAUCCGAAACUACGGUAUAUAAUAUUAGUUUCGUCACAGUGGUCAUUCGAACUGAAAACCUCUAACACAAUAAUCACAAUAUUCUUUCUUCUAAACAUAGCAGUUGUAAUUAAUGACUGCAACUAGUUUUUUAGAUUGCUAUAUAUAUGGACUAUGGACUUGAGAUUGGAGAAAAAAACAUUUUAAGACAUAUUAUUGUAGUGGACUGUAACUGGGUUGGUGUAUUAUGAUUACAUAACUCUUUUAGAUCAAAUGUAUUUUUUAUUAAAAUGCACAAUGAAUAUAAUUGCUAGAGACUAAGUUCUAUUACUAUUUUUGUUGUAUUGUUGCUGCUGCUAGAGACGUGUGGGAAAUUAGACAAAUUUAAGAAAAAUCAGAGUAUUACCCAAGAAAGAUGCAUUAGUAAGGAAGACAGCGUUCGCACAACAAUUCCACGGGUAGAUCCUACAAUCUGCACUCAAAGGUUUUAGUUGUCUUAAUUAGUGUAGUAAUACUAUUUUAAUUAAUUUAUAUUCUUAUUGUUUGGUUAAUUAUUUAGUUGAGCAUCUUACGUAAUUGGCGCAAUAUUUUGAUGAUACAUAUGUUACGAAUAACUUAAUGACGUUUCACCUAGUGGAUAAAUAUCAUUUUCUAUGUACAAUAAUGACCUUUGAAAUCACGAAAAGAACAUUUUGUUUUUAAUUAGUGGCUGCUGCUAGACAAGUUGGAAACCACAAAAAGUAGAUCGUCUUAUAAAUUAUAAACGGUAGUAACAACUUUUUAAAAGAUAUUAUGUUGUGUAUAGACUUGUAGGUAUAUAACAUUUACAUUUUAUGAAGUCGUUAUACUGACAAAGUAUACUAUAAAUUCUGAUAUUGUGUCUACAAAAUAUUCAAAGUUUCUUGUUUUUAAACAGUUAAAUCAUAUUUUUUGAACAGAUUUUUUUUAAAGCUUAAUAAUUAAUGUUCAAAUAUCCCACUUAACAAGUUUUCAAUUAGUUACGAAUAAUGCAGUGCCUUUUCAUUUUGUUUUUCUAUGUUGGUUCAGGACUAGCAGCCAAUCAAGCUAACAUGGCAUUUGGAAUGGGGAUAAAGAUAAUUCACUGAUGAAAACAUUUUAAUGGUUAGAUAAGAUCAAUCUUAAAUCUUAUCCCUCCAUAAUAAUUAUGAACCUUUUUUUCUAUUUAUGGGAUAAAAAGUAAUAUUUAGGUGUAUAAUCUAUGCAUAGACAAAUAAUUAAAGUGUUGAAAACAAAAGACACAAUUAUUUAAAAUUGACCGUGGAAUUGCAAAUGACAACCACAUAAAAAAACAAUAAAUACGAGGAAAAGAAAAUAAAUCUAUCUCAUAACCUUCACAUACUAUCCAAACUCUAUGUCAUACGUUGCUCGGUUGACCAAACAAACUAGGUAAUGUAUCACCAAAAAAUUACGUAUCAAAGAUUCAAUACUCGAAUUCAGGAUCUUGAUCAAAACUCUAUGGGAUGCUGAUAAUAGUACUUAAUGAAAUUACAAUUUACUUAAAAUGAUUUCAUCUAUUGUUAUGCAGCUUUGUGUACAUUGUUACCAAAGAGUACUCAUGUAUAUGAAUGUUUAUCGAUUUGUGUAAACGUGUUAGUUUAGCUCAAGCAUUUUUCUUUAGCAGAAAAGAUGAUAAGUUGGCAGGUCUGCGCGCCCUCAUACAUUGCCUCGUGCAUGUUUCACUAAUCGACAGAAAAUAAGUGAAUCUGUAAAGGUGGUCGUAUAUAGAAGCGCCUGACAUUUAGAUUUUUGUAAUAUAUAUAUAUAUAUAUAUAUAUAUAUAUAUAUAUGUAUUAUAUUAGUUAAUAUCUACAUAUGCCUCCACUUGUUAUAUAAGUUAGCUUACAUUACAUCUUUUCUCUUUCUUGCUUAUAGCAUCAUUCUUUGUCGUGUUCUUUUAUUUAACCUUUCUUUGUCUUGUGUUUCCUCACAACACUUUGUAAAAGUGUUUUAAAAUCAAGAUCUGAAAAUCUUAUCUCCUCUAUUAGAAUUUGCUAAUCUUCUCGUUCUAAACAAUCACUUAUAUUUCUAUAGGGCUUCCCUUUUGGAAUAUAUAAUCAGAUACAAUCUAUUUAGGGUUUUAAUGGCGAAUCCAUGGUGGACAGGACAAGUGAAUCUCUCCGGCCUCGAAACGACGCCGCCGAGUUCCUCUCAGUUAAAGACACCAGAUCUCCACAUCUCCAUGAAUAUGGCCAUGGACUCAGGUCAUAACAACCACCACCAUCAUCACCAAGAAGUCAACACCAACAACAACAACGAAGACGAUAGAGACAACUUGAGCGGCGACGACCGCGAGCCACGUGAAGGAGCCGUGGAAGCUCCCACGCGCCGACCACGUGGACGUCCUGCUGGUUCCAAGAACAAACCAAAGCCACCAAUCUUUGUCACGCGUGAUUCUCCAAACGCUCUCAAGAGCCAUGUCAUGGAGAUCGCUAGUGGGACUGAUGUCAUAGAAACCCUAGCUACUUUCGCUAGGCGGCGCCAACGUGGCAUCUGCAUCUUGAGCGGUAACGGCACGGUGGCUAACGUCACACUCCGUCAACCAUCAGUGGCUCCCGUUGCAGCUGCCCCUGGUGGUGCGGCUGUAUUGGCGUUACAAGGGAGGUUUGAGAUUCUUUCUCUAACCGGUUCUUUCUUACCUGGACCGGCUCCACCUGGAUCCACUGGUUUAACUAUUUACUUAGCUGGUGGUCAAGGUCAGGUUGUUGGAGGAAGCGUGGUGGGGCCAUUGAUGGCUGCUGGUCCGGUGAUGCUAAUCGCUGCCACGUUUUCUAAUGCGACUUAUGAGAGAUUACCUUUGGAUGAGGAAGAAGCGGCUGAAAGAGGUGGCGGUGGAAGCGACGGAGGAGUGGUUCCAGGGCAGCUCGGGGGCGUAGGUUCCCCGCUGAGUAGUGGUGGCGGUGGAGGCCACGGGAACCAAGGACUUCCCGCAUAUAAUAUGCCCGGAAACCUUGCUUCUAAUGGCGGUGGAGGAGGACAGAUGAGCGGCCAAGAAGCGUACGGUUGGGCUCAAGCUAGGUCAGGAUUUUAACGUGCGUUAAGAUGACUUUUUAUUUACAGCAGUUAACAAUAAAGAAUUACGUUAUGUCUAUUAUGAUAAUGAUUAUGAAAACUAGUUGCUACUAGUGAGCUAUAUAGUGUGUGGGUACAUUAUAUUAUGUUCUCUUGACUAGAUUAUUAUAUGCUAAAUUUCACUUACUUGUGUGUGGUUUAUGAUCUUUUAUUACAAGAUUUUCUCUUUGUUGGAUUCUUCAUUUGUUUUUAUAAUGAAGUUAUGUGUGCAUAUAUAAUCGAUUGAAUCUUUGAGGUUGGUCAUGUUUUCCAUGUAUAUGAUAUAGCACUAUAUAUGCCAUAUAUAAUUGGUUUUAUAUAUUUUGUAUGUUUGCAUGCAUUUAUUAGACACCUGAUUGGCAAUUAUCUACAAGCCUUACACUCACCUAGUCUCAUUAAAUAUAAGCUGGUUUAAUUUUGCUACAAAUUAUGUAAGAAAAUAUUGAUUUACAUGUAACCCAAUACUUCAAAAAUGCAUAUAUAUAUAUCUCAGCCUUCUGAACAAAACAUCGGAUUAUAACCCGAUUAAGAGUAACACGAACACGUAAAAGAACUGUUUAAGCUACGCACAUCAGCAUACAUUAUAUCAUACAAAAGAAAAAGAAUUGCCGAGAAAGAUCAAUGAACUCCGGUUCCAGGAUUUAGUUCGAUUCCAAAUAUUCACAAACAAUUUGUUUUAUUAUUUUCGGUUAUGAUAUUUUGGUCCAGUGAUUUAUUUGAUGGUAAACUCACAUAAAACUAUCAUUUCCGAAGAAUAAGUUCACAUCAUGAUAAGUCGGAUGAUAGAGUGAAGUGAUCAAAUGAAAUUAACAAAAAAUACUUUUAGAAUAAACAUAUAUAACAUGCAUAAAUUAGAUUAGUAUCAGAUCAUCUCUUGAACAAUCUAGGAUUUCAAUUUUAUUGUAACCUAACUUUUAUUAUUCAGUUAAUUAUGGUUACAAUUUUAAUUAAAAAAAAUUAGUAUGUUCGCUUAGCAUGCAGUCAUCAUUAAAUUAUACUCUAGUGGAAAAGAUGAUGUAUCCAACAAAAGUAAUCUAUAAAUGCUAUUACCGAAAGCUAUAUAUUAAUAGGUUAUUUCAAAUGAAAUGACAUUUGACAAUAAAAUGUUCUAAUAAAAUAUAAAUGCAUGUGUUAUUUGAAUGUUCAAAUCACCUGGACUGAAACUCAAACUUAUAAUUAAUGGCUUUGUGAAUCUGCAACGGUCUAAUAUAUAUAUAUACAAAGAAGCCGUAGUCAACCACAACUAAUAUAACUAAAUCAGUCGACUCAAAAACUAAUUUUGUUUUUCAGAAAAAAAACUAAUUUAGUUAUAAUAUAUAUAUAUUUAUGGUACACACCAGGUUCAAUGCAACUUAAUAUACGACGGGAAUAAAAAAAAGGUCCAAUGCAACUAUUAUACCAAUUUUUAAUACAUGUGUGUGUGUGCCUGUAUUAAUAAUCCCCCUUGCUGUCUGUCAGCUUACAAGUGUCGUCAUUUAACCAAGUUUUUAGGCUUUCUUGACCAUCUUUUAAUUAAAAAUCAUAGACAAAGUAUGAGAAUACAGGAGCUUAUUCACAUGGUACCACAUGCGUUCCUCUUGCAAAACGCAAACCCUAAUGGACCUGUCUAUUAUAUAUAUUCAUAUCCGUACUUUCUUGAGCAGAAAUGCAUAACACUAAAAUGAUUAACUAAAGUGCUUUAGAAUUUAAAAAUAUUUACAUUAGUGUAGCCAUUUAUUAAGAUCCAAGUAUAGCGAUUUAUCAAGAACCUUCUCGUCUACUUCUCUUAUAUUAAGCCUUUCGUUUUCUCGACCGAGAGAAAGCGAUUUUCACCAAGUCGUUUUUUCCGCCUUUUUUUUUUUUUUUUUUGGUCAUCCUCAUCUGCAGAGGCAGAACAGAGCUUUGGCUCUUGCUUCUUGUGAGCUACCAUAUAUAAACAGGUGAACACAUAUAUACCACAAUCUCUGGUUCUUAUAGUUUAUAUACCAAAACUAUUGUUUUAUAUUAAGAUGUAACAACUUUCACAUAAAAGUAAUGAAAGUUCAGGUAUAAAGCCGUAUUCAUAUUUAAGUCCAACAAAGUUAGCAGUUUUUUUCUCUAUAAAUGAUUGAAUCACUGCAUUUCGAUAAGUAAAUUACACAUAUGAUUAUCAUCAAUCAAAACUACUUACCCAAACUUUUUAAUGGUAUACUGAACGGCCGGUUUAAAACUAAGAAGUACAAAAAUUGAAAAGUAUUGUGUAGAGAGAUACCAAAUCAUAAAUUCUUGUAAUAUUUUAUCGAAAAGCCAAGCCUAAACCGCACUCAAAAGAAUAUAAUACUAGUUAAUUAGAAAAAGUCUAAAUCUAUAGCAAUUAACAACUAAUACUUUGAAAAGGAAUCCAUAAACAAGCAUUAUUAAAAGUAUAACAAAGACCACAAGAUAAAGCAUAACUCGGGGUCCAAAAAACUAUAUCAAAAGAUUAAAGAAACAUUAAUUAGUAUGCCGAGGUAGUACUGCUUCAUUGAACAAAAUAAUUAUAAAAUCUGUUUCCUGUUUUUGUAUUUUAUAUAUGUAUAUAUAUAUAUAUUUAUAUAUGUAUAUACACUAUUAAGCUUAUAUUAAUAUAUAUCCCUUAUAUAUUAAUCGACGAACAUUUAAAAAGAUGUAACUUUCGAUUUUGUAAUAAUUAAAAAAAAACUCUUUGCUUAUGUGUCAAUCAAUUAGGUAGUUAAUUAGUCCUACGUGUCAGUCUCACGUUAAAACUGAAAAACAUGUUGGUCCAAUUCAAUUUUUAUAUCUCACUAGAAACAUUUAGUACCAACUAUAUGAUAUCAUAUGAUAUUAACUAAAACAAGGUGACUAUUUAUUAUACUCCCUCCGUUUCAUAAUACUUGAUGUUUUGUAAUAGUACACAAAGAUUGAAAAUUACAUUUCCCUAGAAAAAAUAUUUUAAAGAUAUAAUUUUAAAAUCAGUUAACCAAUUAUAAAAAAGACCGUAAAAUCUAAUUGGUUGAACAGUUUUCAAUAAAGUUAAAGUUAACCUUAAAAUCUCAAAACUUCCUUAAAAUCUCAAAACUUCAUGUAAAUUGAAACAAAACAAACCUUCUAAAAUAUCAUCUAUAUUGAAACGAAGGGAUUAUAUUUUUUCUUUAAAUGAAACCUACGGAAUUACCUAAUGUGAUUAUGAUAUAUAUAGUAAUAAAUGAUUUUAAAUAAUGAAGAUUUGCUAAUAAUUUAUAUGCUUUCUAUCAUUUUUGUUUAAUUCUUUACUAUUAAAAUAAAUUACACGAUUAUAUUAAUCAUAUAUUAAAAAUUAAGAUUUUUUUGUAUAUGUUGUAUUUUGAAUUUUUCAAAACGAGUAUAAAUUACUAAAACUGUUAAAAGUCUCACAUAAACUUUUGUGAUCAAUGUUUAAAUUUUUUUCUAUAAAAGAUACAAUGAUAAUAAAAUCAUAUAAAUAAAUAAUUUUAUUUUAAUAGGUGUUUAUGUUAAUAUAUAUAUAUAUAUAUUUCAUAUCCUUUAAAUUAAACUAUACAUCAAAUGAAAAUACAUACUUAUAUUUUGAUAUUUUCAUUAAACAUAUAUUAAAAAGUUAAUAUUUUAAUUUUGAAAUCUUCAUUGUUUUUUUUAAAUGAUUAUAAAUUAUUGAAACUACUAAACAUCCGACAUUAAAAAAAAUCGUAGGUGUAAAAUUUUGCUAUACAAAUAUGUAAAUAAUAAUAAAAUCAUAUAAGUAGAAACCUCAUUUAAUAAAUAUCCAUAUUAAAAGUAUAUUACAUAUCUAUGUUAAUAUCAUUUAAAUUUAAUUAUAUAUCACAUACGAUAGAUAAAAUUGAUUUAUUGAUUUAUUUACCCUAAAAUAAUUUCGAAUAAACAAAAAUGAUCGUUUAAUUUAUAUGCACACGCUAAUUUAUUACAUAAUAGUAACUGAUUUCUUAGUUAUUUAGUAUAUAUACUUAUUAUUUUAUUAUUUCAUAAUAUGCAGAAAACAUAAAAUAAGUAAUAAAUAUAAAAUAUUUAUUAUGCAAAAAGUGCGGAUCUUAACCUAAGUCUGUAUCUCUUUAAUAAUUUUAAAUCUUAAACAUUUUCUAAAUCUCAGACCAAAACAAACAAACAAAAUGAAAAUAAACUCCAAAAUCAAUAUUUAUAUCGAGCAAUAACCAAAAUGAAAAAGAGACACAAAAAAAAUUGAAGAUACAUAUGAUUGGCACGUGAACGUAAACUUCUCAUGACCAUAAUUAACUUUUAAAUUUCUAAAUCAUGAUAUAAAACUGAGCUGGCAUAGUUUCAUUGUAAUCAAAUAGUUGACCUGAAAUUCUUCGGCCUAAACGUUAAGAACGUUCUUAUACGAUAAAUGAUUUUUUGGCCUAAAACAUUUUUUUUAAAUGGGAUCAGAUCAUCUGUAUAUAAAUUAUUUAAUUAAAAAAAAGUUAUAAAAAAAUUUAAGGGCCAAAUAUUAAUUCGAUCAAGAAUAUAAAUUUAUUUUUCCAUACAAUAUUUCUUAAAUAAUUUUCAUAUAAAUUUCAUCUGCGUAAGGCGCAUGUCUUAUCCUAGUACUUUUUAAAUUAUAAGAAAAAUUCAAAUAGUCAACCAUCAGUGGCUCCCGUUGCAGCUGCCCCUGGUGGUGCGGCUGUAUUGGCGUUACAAGGGAGGUUUGAGAUUCUUUCUCUAACCGGUUCUUUCUUACCUGGACCGGCUCCACCUGGAUCCACUGGUUUAACUAUUUACUUAGCUGGUGGUCAAGGUCAGGUUGUUGGAGGAAGCGUGGUGGGGCCAUUGAUGGCUGCUGGUCCGGUGAUGCUAAUCGCUGCCACGUUUUCUAAUGCGACUUAUGAGAGAUUACCUUUGGAUGAGGAAGAAGCGGCUGAAAGAGGUGGCGGUGGAAGCGACGGAGGAGUGGUUCCAGGGCAGCUCGGGGGCGUAGGUUCCCCGCUGAGUAGUGGUGGCGGUGGAGGCCAUGGGAACCAAGGACUUCCCGCAUAUAAUAUGCCCGGAAACCUUGCUUCUAAUGGCGGUGGAGGAGGACAGAUGAGCGGCCAAGAAGCGUACGGUUGGGCUCAAGCUAGGUCAGGAUUUUAACGUGCGUUAAGAUGACUUUUUAUUUACAGCAGUUAACAAUAAAGAAUUACGUUAUGUCUAUU
This 11065-nucleotide long non-coding RNA is filed under the name Brassica napus (rape). RNAcentral describes it as "long non-coding RNA (BNAP_LNC024961)". Lineage: Eukaryota; Viridiplantae; Streptophyta; Magnoliopsida; Brassicales; Brassicaceae. The record is from RNAcentral.